GCUUCAGGUAUUGGCGUUACUGCCAAAGAGAAAAAGAUUCUGCUUUUCAUCAGCUGCUUGCUCCAGUGGUCUGUGUGUCUCCGACACCUACUGCUGAUGGCCCUGUCGGGCGGAUCCUGCAGUGGAGGGUGAACAGCAGCCCAGGGUCUUCCUCCCCAUUCCAGGCUGGGCGGCGAGCAGCCUUACAAUGCCGGGAUGCUCCAGCUCAGAAAUGAAGAGUAAUCCUUGAUGCUUCUUUCUCUUGUCACACCUCUAUGGGACCACUUGCAAUCAAGUCCUGUUACUCUCCUUCAAAAACAUGUCCUGAUAGCAAUCUCCUUCCAUCCGCAUGAGUACCUCUCACCCGGACAACUGUAUUGGGAGUCACAAAACGGACCGUGAAGUCCUUGACCAUAGGCACUCAGUUACCGUCUAAAGGUAGAAAACCUCAGAGAACGUACUUCAUGCUCUGGGUGAGAGGAUGCAGUCAGCAAGUACAUCUGAAUUCUGAAUUUUCAGUGCCACUUGGUGACCUGAUAAACAGGAAUUUUGUGUUACUAUGAACUGAGCAGCAUUUCAGCAUUUGACUGUUGUAUCGUCGUUUCUAUCAAAGUAAAAGUCACUAACUUGCUACAGUGAACAAGGCUUUGGAUCAUCUUGUUCCCUGACUCUUCCCUGAUCUCAAGUCCAAUCAAGUCCCCCUCUUCCAUGAUAAUCCUCCAAGAUGCCAGGCAAACGUGCUUCUCCUGCCUCAGGGCCUUUGCCAGAAAACUCUUCCACCAAGUGUCACCCAGGGCUCUGGGACUUCCCUGGUGGGCCAGGGGCUAAGACUCUGUUCCCAUUGCAUGGGGCCUGGAUUCAAUCCCUGGUCAUGGAACUAGAUCCCAUAUGCUGCAACUUAGAGUUGUGGCUCCUGCAUACUGCACUGAAG
Long non-coding RNA from Bos taurus (domestic cattle), 910 nucleotides. The record is from Ensembl. NCBI's taxonomy places the organism in Eukaryota, Metazoa, Chordata, Mammalia, Artiodactyla, Bovidae.